This is an RNA transcript of Fragaria vesca subsp. vesca, 1370 nucleotides long. RefSeq lists it as uncharacterized. The record is from RefSeq and is a predicted model, not a curated record. The transcript is spliced from 2 exons. NCBI's taxonomy places the organism in Eukaryota, Viridiplantae, Streptophyta, Magnoliopsida, Rosales, Rosaceae.
AAAUGGAGAACAUUCAAAAAAAUGUAAUUAGCACAAUGUUCAUAUGAAUUUUAUCCAACAUACUCUCCACAGUUUAGACGAGAAAAUAUAAGAAUUGAAAAGUGAUGAAUGUGCUUACAAUCUUAUCUAGCUACGCUCCUGAUCAAAAGGGUAUCGCCACCAAAACAAGUUCCAGAAGACAAAGACUUGAGCGUAGAAGGUUGGGGGAAUGUAUUGGCUAUCAUUUUUAUCGAUGCGGAGUAUGAACUUGGACCAAUGAACUUCAAUCUGGUCGCCGUCCUCGGACCAAACUAAAGCCAAUUUCAGUACAUCUCUCUGGACUUGCAUCAACAUUGAGUAAGACAAACGAGGCCAUUGAUUAACCAAGGGAAGGAUGAUGCCAUCGUUGUUGAGUCCCUAAACCAGUUCGGGGAGCCAUUCAAUCUUACGAAUAUCAUAAACACAUAAAGCCGUAUGAUAUUUGUAAGAGGCCAAAGCAUCCUUGGGAUUCAAAGUCUUGGGAGAGAAAGGUGCAAAGUCUAUCAGAAAACGAGUCUCCCACAAUCACAGCGGAGGUGGACCGCAUGCGCCGGUUUGCAAAGGGAUCCUUGUCAAUGGAAAAGCUAUGGAUCAUCUCCCAAGAGUGAGAUUCCAAAUCAAAGAAGCCCAAAUGACCCGAUCUUUCUUGUUCAAGCGCAAGAUUUAAAUACGGAGGAGAAUACAGGAGCAUCUUGGACCCAGUAGAAGCAACCAAGAACCUUGGCAGAACAGGAGCAAGGGGAAAGACUUCCGGGUUGCCCACACGGUGGCAGUUGAAGCAGAGCACCUGAUCUGUCACCGCAUAAAUCCAAUGGCCGUCAUCGGAAACCGCCGCCCCACUCACAUAGUUGAAAUCUGGAUUUUCGAAUCUCUCCCAAGAGUUGGGGCUUUGCAAGUUGAUGUAAAGAAUUUCAUUGUCCUCGAUUUUGCUAUCGUAUCGUCCUCUGCCUGUACGGCCACCGAUGAGGAAUAAACGGGACUCGGCCACGACGAAAUUGGCACUAUAGAUAUCAUAAUCUAUUUUGGGAAGAUUGAGAACUUUGACUCUAUCUUCAUCACUUUUACGGACCCAGAGUUCCUCUGGCAACUCAUCUGAUGCUGCUACUUCUUUAUGAUCAGCACCACCUCUCUCUUCGAUCACAAACAACUGAUGCACAUCUCCACCGACGAGAAAUUGGACCGGGGUGACUGCAUACACAUUGUUGUGAUUAUUAGAACAUGUGGUUGCUUCAUCCAGAGGAUAUACAAAACAAGACAGCUUAUCUAAUACGGCAAUACUCGAUACGGCAAUACUCGUAGUCCAAAUGAAUCUACGUAUACAGAAGUAUAGUGUGCAGAAUGUAUAUAUGGUG